Molecule: ribosomal RNA, 1271 nt
Filed under: metagenome
Description: SSU rRNA
Rfam family: Eukaryotic small subunit ribosomal RNA
Source: RNAcentral
AAUGCGGGACUCUAAGAGGCCCCGUAAUUGGAAUGAGUACACCUUAAAUCGUUUAACGAGUUCAAUUGGAGGGCAAGUCUGGUGCCAGCAGCCGCGGUAAUUCCAGCUCCAAUAGCGUAUAUUAAAGUUGCUGCAGUUAAAAAGCUCGUAGUUGGAUCUGGGGCUUGAGGUCGCUGUCUAUCGUUUCGGCGAUGACGGUGAUGCUCAGCUCUGCUUGCCGGUGACUGUUGCGGUGUUCUUCACUGAGCGCUGUAGCAGCACGGCACGUUUACUUUGAAAAAAUUAGAGUGCUCAAAGCGUGCUUGUCGCUUGAAUAAUGUUGCAUGGAAUAAUGGAAUAGGACCUCGGUUUUAUUUUGUUGGUUUUCGGAGCUUGAGGUAAUGAUUAAGAGGGACGAACGGGGGCAUUCGUAUUGCGGUGUUAGAGGUGAAAUUCUUGGAUCGCCGCAAGACGGACUACUGCGAAAGCAUUUGCCAAGAACGCUUUCAUUAAUUAAGAACGAAAGUCAGAGGUUCGAAGACGAUCAGACACCGUCCUAGUUCUGACCAUAAACGAUGCCGACCAGCGAUCCGUAGUGGUUGCUUUAUGGACCCUACGGGCAGCCUCCGGGAAACCAAAGUAUUUGGGUUCCGGGGGAAGUAUGGUUGCAAAGCUGAAACUUAAAGGAAUUGACGGAAGGGCACACCAGGAGUGGAGCCUGCGGCUUAAUUUGACCCAACACGGGAAAACUCACCCGGUCCGGACACCGUAAGGAUUGACAGACUGAUAGCUCUUUCUUGGUUCGGUGGAUGGUGGUGCAUGGCCGUUCUUAGUUGGUGGAGUGAUUUGUCUGGUUAAUUCCGAUAACGAACGAGACUCUAGCCUGCUAAGUAGUGUUGCUAUUGUUAUAUGGUUGACACUUCUUAGAGGGACAAGCGGCAUUUAGCCACGCGAAAUUGAGCAAUAACAGGUCUGUGAUGCCCUUAGAUGUCCGGGGCCGCACGCGCGCUACACUGGAGAAGUCAGCGUGUGUUAUCCAAGUCCGAAAGGACUGGGUAAUCCGUUGAACCUUCUUCGUGCUUGGGACUGUGGCUUGGAACUAUUCCACAUGAACGAGGAAUUCCUAGUAAUUGCAAGUCAUAAGCUUGCGUUGAUUACGUCCCUGCCCUUUGUACACACCGCCCGUCGCUACUACCGAUUGAAUGGUUUAGCAAGGUCCUCGGAUCGUGGCCGUAGGGGCACGCAAGUGUUUCUGCGGUUUGCGAGAAGACGACCAAACUUGAUCAUUUAGA